Schistocerca gregaria is the source of this 1114-nucleotide long non-coding RNA. RefSeq lists it as uncharacterized. The record is from RefSeq and is a predicted model, not a curated record. The transcript is spliced from 3 exons. NCBI's taxonomy places the organism in Eukaryota, Metazoa, Arthropoda, Insecta, Orthoptera, Acrididae.
UCCUACGAGAUGCGUCCACACUACUAUGCUCUUCGUCCUAAGUUUAACACAGAAGUUACCGAUGUGCCACGUAUUCCUCAGCGUUUGCACGUUUACAAGGUUUCCUUUUCCUUCACCCCUCUUCCUUCCCCUUCAACCCUUCUGCCUGAAGAAGGAGCCACUGACUCUGAAAGCUUGCCAAUUACAACCAUCUUUUGUGCGUGAUUUCUGCUGUCGCUUGAGAGGCAGAAUGGAAGACUAGAAGAUGUAACAGAUACACAGCAGCAUAGUAGUAGCCCUAAAGUGAUCAGAAAGUGUGCGCGGUGUAUGCAGUGAAAAGAGUGGAGAAACUUAACUGACACUGUAUAAUUUAUAUUUCAUUUUAUUCAGCUAACUUUUCCCAUACAUGUAUGCAAACAAGAGUAUUGUACAUUACGCAUAACCAAAGGAGACAGAAGAUUAGAUGGGCAGACUGGAUAAUCAAAUUGUUGACAAAAGAAAUUUAUGAGAACUUGACUAUAAGAAAUGACUAGUUGAUAGCACAUAUUUGGAGGCACCAGUUAAUUGUCAGUUUGGUAAUGGGAGUGAGCAUGUGAGGUAAAAACUGUAAAGGGAUGCAUAUGGUAAACAGGAUCAAAUGGAUGUAGGUCACAUUAGUUAUGCAGAGAUGGAGACAUGCUCCCUAGCAUUGAGUGCUGCAUUAGAUCAGCCUUCAGACUGAAAACAACGACGAUGAUGAUGACAACACAGACAACGACACAUACGACUAAACUUUUCGUUGUAUAAGGCUGACAAAUCAUCUAUCAAUGUAAAAUGAUAUUUGAAUGAAUACAUUACUACUACUGUGGUGGUACAAUGAAUGGUAGAAGUCUAAUGAAGCUAUUCACUAGAUUUCAAGGUAUAAGAAUAGACUGAGACAAUGACCACAUGGAAAGGAGAUACUUGACAUAAGAAAACACACAAGGAGCAAAAUGGAUACAUUUGGCUGAAGACUGUAUUAUGUGCAGUAAUCUGGAGGAGGCCUUUAGCCAGCAGUGGUUGUGAAAUGACUGACUGACUGAUGAUCGACAUGCGGAAACUGAGAUGCAUAAACCACAUGCCUUUCUUUUUUUAAUGCAUUCUACUGAAUUCUUAU